RNAcentral lists this ribosomal RNA (693 nucleotides) under Triticum aestivum (bread wheat). RNAcentral's name for it is "partial small subunit ribosomal RNA". Lineage: Eukaryota; Viridiplantae; Streptophyta; Magnoliopsida; Poales; Poaceae. The record is from RNAcentral.
AUGGCAUCUUUUUCUUCUUCUUCUUCUGGGUCAUCCACGGCGAACCAGAUAAUUCCACCAAUCAACAACGAUGACAGUGAGAUAGGAGCUACCGGCACGGCAGCGCCAACGCCUACCCUGAACAAGGUCAUGUCGAGCGUCGCGAACCUUGCACAGCUCCUGCCCACGGGCACGGUGCUGACGUACCAGGCGUUGGCCCCGUCAUUCACCAACUACGGCAAGUGCGAGGCCUCCAACCAGUGGCUCACCACAGCGCUGGUUGCUGUCCUCGCCUCCGCCUGCCUCUUCUUCUCCUUCACCGACAGCGUCGUGGGUCGCCAUGACGGAAAACUAUAUUACGGCUUCGCCACAUUGCGUGGCUUCAACGUGUUCAACUUCUCCAGCGAGGAGGAGAAGCAGGAGUGGAAUGAUCUCUACCAAUUCCGGAGGCUCCGCCUUCAGCCACUGGACUUUGUGCAUGCCUUCUUCACGGCAGUGGUUUUCCUCAUAAUGGCGUUCAGCGAUGUGGGGCUGCAAAACUGCUUCUUCCCGGAUGGCAGCAGGAACACACAACAGCUGCUCAAGAACCUGCCACUGGGAAUGGCGUUUCUGUCCAGCUUUGUGUUCAUCAUCUUCCCCACCAAAAGGAAGGGCAUCGGAUUCAAUAACACGGCUCCUCGCCAGAAGGUUGUCCAUCCCUUGAACAAAGUUUGA